UGGCUGGGAAGCACAGGUGGGCUUGGGA
Molecule: non-coding RNA, 28 nt
Filed under: Homo sapiens (human)
Lineage: Eukaryota; Metazoa; Chordata; Mammalia; Primates; Hominidae
Source: RNAcentral